This 548-nucleotide long non-coding RNA is filed under the name Mus caroli (Ryukyu mouse). RNAcentral's name for it is "lncRNA (MGP_CAROLIEiJ_G0004219.1)". Lineage: Eukaryota; Metazoa; Chordata; Mammalia; Rodentia; Muridae. The record is from RNAcentral.
UGGAGAAGACCCACACCAGCACGAUCAUGAUGGCCGCCCUUUUGGGAGUCCUUUUAGCAGAAUAUUCCACCGCAUCAGUGAUGGCCCAGUAGCGGUCCAGGGCGAUGACACAGAGAUGCAUGAUGGAAGCAGUGCAACAGGUGAUAUCCGACGACAGCCAGAAGUCGCAGACCACCUGGCCUAGUGUCCAGCGUCCAGUGACCGUGUACAUGGUGCUGAUGGGCAUCACCAGGAUGGACACGAGCAGGUGAAAUCAUCAGUGAAGACUCCAGCACUGAACAACCCUUUCCUGUAUAGCGAUAGCCCAUAGCCAGGCUCCUCUCAAACAGCCUCACUAUCUCUGAAAGUUGAAUUUCAAAGCAAAACUCCUGCAAGUAUCAUUUACAAGAAGGAUCUAUGCAAGGUACAAAGCAAAUCUCAAGCAAACUGAAACUGACAGUUAAUCAAAAAAGAUGAUUAAGAAAAUAACUGUAAUCAAAGGAAAUAACUUCUCCAUCAACAAUCAGUGGCUUUCAUCAGAGUAUUAUGUCACAGCAACAGAAGAGAAA